AUACGGAGGCUGCAAGCGUUAAUCGGAAUUACUGGGCGUAAAGCGUGCGUAGGUGGUUUGUUAAGUUAGAUGUGAAAGCCCCGGGCUCAACCUGGGAACUGCAUUUGAAACUGGCAUACUAGAGUAUAGGAGAGGAAAGUGGAAUUUCAGGUGUAGCGGUGAAAUGCGUAGAUAUCUGAAGGAACAUCAAUGGCGAAGGCAGCUUUCUGGACUAAUACUGACACUGAGGUACGAAAGCGUGGGUAGCAAACAGGAUUAGAUACCCUGGUAGUCC
RNAcentral lists this ribosomal RNA (274 nucleotides) under uncultured bacterium. RNAcentral's name for it is "partial 16S ribosomal RNA". It matches the Rfam family "Bacterial small subunit ribosomal RNA", at positions 523 to 796 of the family's 1533-position model. The record is from RNAcentral.